This 237-nucleotide ribosomal RNA is filed under the name uncultured Staphylococcus sp. RNAcentral describes it as "partial 16S ribosomal RNA". It matches the Rfam family "Bacterial small subunit ribosomal RNA", at positions 103 to 334 of the family's 1533-position model. The record is from RNAcentral. Lineage: Bacteria; Bacillati; Bacillota; Bacilli; Caryophanales; Staphylococcaceae.
CGGGUGAGUAACACGUGGAUAACCUACCUAUAAGACUGGGAUAACUUCGGGAAACCGGAGCUAAUACCGGAUAAUAUUUUGAACCGCAUGGUUCAAAAGUGAAAGACGGUCUUGCUGUCACUUAUAGAUGGAUCCGCGCUGCAUUAGCUAGUUGGUAAGGUAACGGCUAACCAAGGCAACGAUGCAUAGCCGACCUGAGAGGGUGAUCGGCCACACUGGAACUGAGACACGGUCCAG